Sorghum bicolor (sorghum) is the source of this 1451-nucleotide RNA transcript. It is a transcript of the gene named peptide chain release factor PrfB3, chloroplastic, with no coding region annotated. Lineage: Eukaryota; Viridiplantae; Streptophyta; Magnoliopsida; Poales; Poaceae. The transcript has 6 exons. The record is from RefSeq and is a predicted model, not a curated record.
UCCUCGCGUCCGCCUCCCCCUCCCGCCGGCCGCCACCUUCCCCGCUGGAAUGGCAGCGGACACCUCGCCGGCAACGUGCGCACGAGCCUCUGCGUCCGGCCUCCGCACGGGCCGCCUCGCCGUCCGCGCCGCCGCCCUCCCGGCGGACGGGCGCGGCGGUGAUGGCGCUGCCUCCUAUAAGAAACUUGGUCUGUACUCCUUGAAAAAGAGGAUUGAAGAUGCAGUUGUGCGGGUUGAAACGACUGCUUCCAGUGCUUUGGAGUUGGAGGAAGCACAGAGAAUUAAACAGGAAGAAGUAUUGCGGAAGCGUAACUUGUGGGAUAAUCCAGCUAAGUCACAUGAGACGCUCUCUGCUCUGGCAGAUGCUAUCAGGGUGGUUGACCAUCUAAAAGAUCUUCGCUUCAAGGCUGAAGAGGCGAAGUUGAUUAGUCAACUAUCAGAGAUGGAUGCCAUAAAUGGUGAGCUAUUUAAGCAAGCAUACAAAUCAUCAGUAGAUGCUAGCGAGUAUCUAGAUCGCUACCAGAUGUACAAGCUUCUUAAGGGUCCAUAUGACAAGGAGGGAGCAUGCAUUAUUGUUACUGCAGUAUCUAACGGUGUUACUUCUGAGCUGUGGGCAGAGAAGGUCUUUGGCAUGUAUACAAGUUGGGCACGGAAACAAGGUUACAAGGUUGGAUUGAUUGAGAAGAUAUUUUCAACGAGUGGCCAUAUCCAAUCUGCAGCAAUGGAGAUUGAAUCAGAGUACAUGUUUGGCACCCUUUCUGGAGAAAAAGGAAUGCAUCAAAUGAUAUACUCCUCCCUUGAAAAUUCUGACAUUGAUCAGCUUGCAGGCCUUAUCAGCUAGAGUCGACAUAAUUCCCCUGUUCUUGGAUAGACCAGUUGAUCUUCACUUGGAUGACGGUGAUAUAGAGACCUCUCCCUCACCUUCUGUACAUAAGAAGCGAGGCAGAAGAAACGGAGCUGCUGUUAGGGUUCAACACGUACCAAGUGGAGUCACUGCUGAAAGUUCAGGUGAGAGAAGCUACUUUGCAAACAAGCUAAAAGCCACAAGUAGGUUGAAAGCAAAGCUCCUUCUAGUAGCUAGAGAAUUGAGAGUAUCGGACGUAAAACUGAUCAACAGACAAGCAAUAGAGGAUAAGUGCAACUCUGAAACACGAAGAUACACAUUUGGACCUCAUAAAUUGGUCCAUGAUCUCAAUACAGGUAUCCAGUUGUCAGAUUUGAACUCAGUCCUGGAAGGCGACAUCGAACCAUUCAUCAGAGGCCGUGUUACUUCCAGACAAUUGUGAUGCACACAGCUCUCACCAACUGAUUGAUCUGUUCGCUCAUUGUGAUUCUGUACAUUUAUUUCCUUUCUUCUACAGACCACACCACAUCAUAAGAUAACCUCUGUAAAUAUUUCAUAUUUCAAGCCAAAAAGGUAUACAAAACAUCAAUCUGUUGCACUAUUUUCA